UACAGAGGUCCCGAGCGUUGUUCGGAUUCACUGGGCGUAAAGGGUGCGCAGGUGGGUUUGCAAGUUCGAUGUGAAAGCCCCGGGCUUAACCCGGGAAUGGCAUUGGAUACUGCAGAUCUGGAGGAUCGGAGGGGGGACUGGAAUUCUUGGUGUAGCAGUGAAAUGCGUAGAUAUCAAGAGGAACACCAGUGGCGAAGGCGAGUCCCUGGACGAUACCUGACACUGAGGCACGAAAGCUAGGGGAGCAAACAGG
This 253-nucleotide ribosomal RNA is filed under the name uncultured bacterium. RNAcentral's name for it is "partial 16S ribosomal RNA". It matches the Rfam family "Bacterial small subunit ribosomal RNA", at positions 524 to 776 of the family's 1533-position model. The record is from RNAcentral.